This 76-nucleotide transfer RNA is filed under the name Streptomyces acidiscabies. RNAcentral's name for it is "tRNA-Gly". It matches the Rfam family "tRNA". Rfam says of the family: Transfer RNA (tRNA) molecules are approximately 80 nucleotides in length. Their secondary structure includes four short double-helical elements and three loops (D, anti-codon, and T loops). Lineage: Bacteria; Bacillati; Actinomycetota; Actinomycetes; Kitasatosporales; Streptomycetaceae. The record is from RNAcentral.
GCGGACGUAGCUCAGUUGGUAGAGCGCAACCUUGCCAAGGUUGAGGUCGCGAGUUCGAGCCUCGUCGUCCGCUUCA